RNAcentral lists this ribosomal RNA (321 nucleotides) under Triticum aestivum (bread wheat). Its description in RNAcentral is "partial small subunit ribosomal RNA". The record is from RNAcentral. Lineage: Eukaryota; Viridiplantae; Streptophyta; Magnoliopsida; Poales; Poaceae.
AUGGAGCCUAGAAAGACGAAUGGCAAAAAGGAGUUCAUGAUAGAGUAUCAUCCCAUAUCCGUCGUCGAGAAAGGCACUCCGUCGGUGGAUGAGGCGCGCUUCAUCAGAAAAUAUAUCUUGGCGGCUUUUAUAGAGCACACCUUCAACCUUUUAUUUGUGGCGACUCUUGCCGGCUAUAUCUAUCUGAUGUUUGGUGCCCUCAUGUACUGCAAACUGUUGUAUGCGGUCUUUGCAAUUCUUCUUAUGUCGCCAUACUUUAUAGUGAUGCUCCAUGCGUUACCCUUAUUGAAGGGGUUUUACAAAGAGAGGUAUGCCACGUAG